UUUGACUUAUCUGUCACUGAAUUGUGUUAGUAAUGGUUACUUUGAGAUCUGUCAUGGAGGAUCCUGGGAAACUGAAAUGUUCUGAGAUUAAUAUAUUCUAACACAUGGAUUCUCCAACUAUGGACCAAGACAUCCCAUGGAGAUUUUAGAAGGAUUUAGAAGGAUUUCCCGCACAAGCAAGAGUAUUAACUUGCACAAAGUUCUGUUUCUCUGGAAUUGCCUCAAUAAAGAACAAAUAUUGAUCCAAAAUAAACACAGAACAAGAAAUGAGAGUAUCUGUCUCAAAAAUAAAAUCAAGAAUUUUGCCAAAAUCAUUAAUAAAAAUGUAGAGGCGCACAAACUGAACAUUGAACUGAACCCUUGUCUCCAUAUUGAUGAAGAUUCCUGAGCUCUUUUUAAGCCUCACAUUUCAGACAGUUACAGUAUCUAUCUCUAUCUUUCAUCUUGAAAAUUGUCUGCCUUUUAUUUCUGUUUCAGACUAUUGUCCAUCCAGUGAAGUAGAAUGGAAAUAUGCCUUCCUUGAUCAAAUUUACUCUCUGCCUCUCAGUAUCUGGUCUAUGAAAUAUCUCAAAUAUUUCAGUUUGUGUCAUAAAAGGGCUGGCAUUCGUUUCAGCAUUGAUAGCUGAAUUAUAUUUCUGUAGCAUUUUAUUCUUGUAUUUUUCUGGCUCCUAUAAAAUAAUGUGGCACAUUUUGGCAUACAAUUUUGCUUUACAGGUGGUCCUCGACUUACAGCCACAAUUGAGCCUAAAAUUUCUGUUAUUAAGUGAGACAUUUGUUAAGUAAGUUUUGCCCCAUUUUAAGUUGGUUAAAUUGUUAAGUGAAUCACUGCAGUUGAUAAGUAGUAAGCCAGUUGUUAAGUGAAUCUGGUUUCCCAAUUGACUUUGCUUAUGAGAAGGUUGCAAAAGAGGAUCACUUGACCUUGGGAAACAGCAAUGGUCAUAAAUAUGAACUACUUGCUAAGCAUCUGAAUUUUGAUGACAUGAACAUGGGGAUGCUGCAGUGGUUGUAAGUGUGAAAAAUGGUCAUAAGUCACUUUUUUCAGUGCUGUUGUAACUUUCAACGGUCAGUAAAUGAACUGUUGUAAGUCGUGGACUACCUGUACUUUGAAUCUGAAAGAAAAAUGUCCUCUACAAAAUCAAUUCAAUGUAGCCAAUGCUAUAACAUUGGUAAUUUGGCUCUUUUUUUGUGUGUGUUGGUAGAUGUACAUAGGCAUUUUUGGCUCCUAGUGCAAUUAUAAAAGACCAUAUUUUCUUAUGAUUCUUGUAAAUUAGCCAUAUGCAUUGAUGGGUGGGAGUGAGCAAAAGAUUAAAUAUGUGUGGUGCAAACAUGCAGUGUAAACAUGUAAAUUAAAUAUUUGUGUCCAACACUGGGGUGCAAGUAGAAAAAGCUAGGAUGAUGAUGUCAUUUUCUCAUUUUUUCAUCACCACCAGUCAUAUUGUUAUUACCAAUAUAUAGAAAGAAGAAUGGGUGAAAAGACAAAAAUGGCAUAAACACUUUGGAUCGUUUUUGAGAAUCAUCAGACUGCUAGAUUAGUUGCAAAAUGCAAAAUUGCAGCAAGAUAUUUAUAGAGCAGAUGUGGGGGACAGGAUGAAUAAAUCAGCUCUCUGAUGAAUAUUAUGGGAACUACAUCACAUGUAUUUGUAGAAUCCAAUUCCACAUCCAUAGUAGGUUCAUAUAGAGAUCCCUACUGCUUCCAAUAUUUGUAAAACAUGCAGUUUUCAUAAAACUCUUGAGCCUGCAUGGAUGAGGAUUUAUGUAUAUUCUCCCUCUCCCUCUCCUUCUCCCUCCCUCUCCCUCCCUCCCUCUCUCUCUCUCUCUUAUAGUGCAUAUACUUUAUCAACACCAAAGCCUUUAAACAUAGUUUACACAUUUGACAAAUAGUUUAUAGGAGGCGAGACAGAGAUAUCUACUGUAAAAUAUAAUGAACCAAUCAACUCAGCUAUAUUUCACUCAUUUUUUUAAAAAAAAAAGUUAAUGCUUUUUAAAAUGUAUGGUUGGGACUUAAAUAACAAAUGCUCUAACUACAGGUGGUCUUCACUAAUGACCACUUACUCAGCAAUCUUAUGAUGCUGCUGAAUGAGUGGCACUUAUGACAGUCACAGUGUCCAGCGGCUGUAUGAUUGCCAUUGCAACCUUCUUUGCUGGCUUCCUACAAGCAAAGUCAAUGGAAAAGACAGUAGGAGGCUGCAAAUGGUGAUCAUAUGACAUCCUUGCUUAAUGACCCACAUGAGUUGCUUAACUAAAGCAACUGGUAGUGCCAGAUUUUCCAUUGCUAAUCAGAGUACUAUGUGAUGUCCCACUUUAGGACCUGUUGCUUAGCAAUGGAAAUUUCAGUCCCAAUCACCAUAAUUAAGUGAGGACUACCUGUGUACAAAUUCAGAGCAUAAUUGUUGACUAUUUGAUAUAUAACAUUUAUAUCAAUGUGCAAAUUUUGAACUUCCACAGCCUACUUCAUUUUUAUUUAUAUCAUUAAAGGAACCUAAAUAGAAAACAUCUUUUUUUUUUUUUGAAAAUAUGAUACAUGUAUUGCAACAAUUGAUUAGUACUACAAACAGAGAAAAUGCAUUGACCAGGGAAAACUGGCUAUUAAGAAAAUGAAGAACUGAGAAACUCAAAAUGUAAGCUAGCAAGUGAAUGAAAAACUGAAUUGUGUGGAUCAGUGAUUAAAAGUUUAUAUUUUUCUUUGUAUAUUUUUUCCUGUUCCUAAAACUACGUUUGACAAUAAUGGGAAGCUAAAUAUAAAAUUCAGACUGCAAAAUAAACAUGGUUAGUUUCUCUCUACCUUUAACAAAAUCAACAACUCUAUGGGACAAAACUUUUUGUAAAGGAUCUGAAAUAUUGUAUGUAAUUUUAUUUAUUAUGAUAUCAGAUUUGUAGAAUGAAGCAAAUAUUUGAAAGGGUUUUUCUUAAAGUUGUUUAAAAUUCUGUCUGACUAAAACUGCAAUAAAGUGAUGCAUACUAUAAUAUUCUAA
This is a long non-coding RNA of Pantherophis guttatus, 2972 nucleotides long. RefSeq lists it as uncharacterized. The record is from RefSeq and is a predicted model, not a curated record. NCBI's taxonomy places the organism in Eukaryota, Metazoa, Chordata, Lepidosauria, Squamata, Colubridae.